GGCGAACGGGUGAGUAACACGUGAGUAACCUGCCCUUGACUCUGGGAUAAGCCUGGGAAACUGGGUCUAAUACCGGAUAUGACUCCUCAUCGCAUGGUGGGGGGUGGAAAGCUUUUUGUGGUUUUGGAUGGACUCGCGGCCUAUCAGCUUGUUGGUGAGGUAAUGGCUCACCAAGGCGACGACGGGUAGCCGGCCUGAGAGGGUGACCGGCCACACUGGGACUGAGACACGGCCCAGACUCCUACGGGAGGCAGCAGUGGGGAAUAUUGCACAAUGGGCGAAAGCCUGAUGCAGCGACGCCGCGUGAGGGAUGACGGCCUUCGGGUUGUAAACCUCUUUCAGUAGGGAAGAAGCGAAAGUGACGGUACCUGCAGAAGAAGCGCCGGCUAACUACGUGCCAGCAGCCGCGGUAAUACGUAGGGCGCAAGCGUUAUCCGGAAUUAUUGGGCGUAAAGAGCUCGCAGGCGGUUUGUCGCGUCUGCCGUGAAAGUCCGGGGCUCAACUCCGGAUCUGCGGUGGGUACGGGCAGACUAGAGUGAUGUAGGGGAGACUGGAAUUCCUGGUGUAGCGGUGAAAUGCGCAGAUAUCAGGAGGAACACCGAUGGCGAAGGCAGGU
RNAcentral lists this ribosomal RNA (616 nucleotides) under uncultured bacterium. Its description in RNAcentral is "bacterial SSU rRNA". It matches the Rfam family "Bacterial small subunit ribosomal RNA", at positions 97 to 726 of the family's 1533-position model. The record is from RNAcentral.